AUUGAACGCUGGCGGAAUGCUUUACACUUGCAAGUCGAACGGCAGCACGGACUUCGGUCUGGUGGCGAGUGGCGAACGGGUGAGUAAUGUAUCGGAACGUGCCCAGUCGUGGGGGAUAACGUAGUGAAAAUUACGCUAAUCCCGCAUACGAUCUAUGGAUGAAAGCGGGGGAUCGCAAGACCUCGCGCGAUUGCAGCGGCCGAUAUCAGAUUAGGUAGUUGGUGGGGUAAAGGCCGACCAAGCCAACGAUCUGUAGCUGGUCUGAGAGGACGACCAGACACACUGGAACUGAGACACGGUCCAGACUCCUACGGGAGGCAGCAGUGGGGAAUUUUGGACAAUGGACGAAAGCCUGAUCCAGCCAUUCCGCGUGCAGGAUGAAGGCCCUCGGGUUGUAAACUGCUUUUGUACAGAACGAAAAGGUUUCUACUAAUACUAGGAGCUCAUGACGGUACUGUAAGAAUAAGCACCGGCUAACUACGUGCCAGCAGCCGCGGUAA
RNAcentral lists this ribosomal RNA (500 nucleotides) under uncultured bacterium. RNAcentral's name for it is "partial 16S ribosomal RNA". It matches the Rfam family "Bacterial small subunit ribosomal RNA", at positions 30 to 523 of the family's 1533-position model. The record is from RNAcentral.